Molecule: unclassified non-coding RNA, 221 nt
Filed under: soil metagenome
Description: partial contains 5.8S ribosomal RNA, internal transcribed spacer 2, and large subunit ribosomal RNA
Source: RNAcentral
AACGCACGAGACCUGCGGACCUGCGGAAGGAUCAUUAAUGAGUUGCAAAACUCCCUAAACCAUUGUGAACCUACCUGUACCGUUCCUUCGGCGGGCGGCGUCAAGCCCUAACCCGUCUCCCUUUACGGGGGAUGGACCCGCCGGAGGCUCCUAAACUCUUAACUUUUGUUGGCAUCUCUGAGUAAAUCAAAAUAAGUCAAAACUUUCAACAAUGGAUCUCU